Brachypodium distachyon (stiff brome) is the source of this 2145-nucleotide RNA transcript. RefSeq lists it as uncharacterized. The record is from RefSeq and is a predicted model, not a curated record. The transcript has 15 exons. NCBI's taxonomy places the organism in Eukaryota, Viridiplantae, Streptophyta, Magnoliopsida, Poales, Poaceae.
UUCUGUUGCAUUGCCAUUGCCACUCUCCUCCUCUUCCACUUUACACGCCUCUCUCUCUCCCUCUCUCUCUCUCUCUCUCUCUGGCUCUCUGGCUCUCUGCAAUUCCCCAUUCCACCAUUCCUGCCACCGCCCCAAAUCCCCUUCGAAUCGGACGGAGCAAGCGGCGGGGAACCCUCUGAUUCGGCUGUCUCCGCGCGCGCUGAUCGAGGGGGACAACUAUUGAUCAGUACAAAAUGCCUGUAAGCUUUAAAUAUUGGGAUGACUGCUUGGAUCCAGAUGAUCUGCGAUUAAUGUGGGCCGAUCCUCAAGUAAGUAAAGAGUGGAUUGACGCUGGAGAGGAGCAGGGACAGAAAGUUCACCUGUCACGGGAUCCUGAUGGCGAGGCAUAUCUGACACAAACUGAAAUGAUGGCAGUGGCUGCAAUCACUGUACACAGACAUUUCAAAUCACAGCUAGACCCGCAUAUGAUAGGUGCCCUUGCGGAAAUUGCAAGUGGAAGGAGACUCUUUGUGGAUAACUAUGAUCACAAGACUAAGGAGACCAAGAUGGGCAUGAUGCAGGUAACACCUGAAGUUGCUCAAUGGCUUGGCAGGGAAUUAGGUUACAAGAAUUAUGACAUUGAACUUGAAGAAAAUAAUAAUUUGCUCUACUGGCCUUUUGUAAAUGUCUACUUUGGUGCAGCUUACGCAAAAUGGCUCUUCUCAUGUGAUGAGAAAGAAAGAACUGAAGAAUUUGUUGUUAGAGCUUACAAGGGAGGCAAAAAGAAGGCUACUCACAAAUCAUCUGCUCCCAUUUUCCAGCGUUAUCUUUAUGUGAAAGAGACAUUGUUGUCUAUGAGACAACCUGAAAGUUUCAAUGUGUUGACUCUUGAUCUCCUAGAAAAUUCCUCAAGUGCAGGAGCACAGCUCAUAUGUUGGGAUUCCAAAGUAUCAGAGGAAGAUAUGGAUGCAAUGUGGAGUCAGCCUGAUGUGGUGAACGAGUGGACAAAAUCUGGCGAGAGGCGUGGAAAUGUCCGCUUUUCCCAUGAUGCCAAGAAGAGGCCUUAUCUUUCCCGGGUUGAGGUGAAGGCUGUUGCUGGAAUAAUCAUAUGGCGCCAUUUGAGCUCAAGAGGAGUAACGCCAGAAGCUCUAGCUGCUCUUGCAGAGGUGUGCAGUAUGCGCUUUGUCCAUGGAGUACGUUCGCGGACAGGAUUGAUGGGAAUAGAUUACCCUACUGCUGCAUGGCUUUACAAAGAUUGUUCGUAUAAGGCGUACACAGUCAACUCUGUGGAUGAUCUCUACAAUCCUUUUGCCUCGAUGUAUUUUGGAGCAGCUUACUUGGGAUGGUUGUCGCAAUAUGAAGGAAGGGAGAGGAGUCAUGAAUUCAUUGUUCAAGCUUAUCUUGGGGGACCGGACAAAGUAAACCUUCAGGAGACUGGGCCGUAUUGGAAGAAAUUUCUGGAUGCUUUAAAACACUAUGAAGAUCCGAAGAAGGACCAAACGGGCUGUUGUAUUUUGUAAAGUUGUCUGAUGUGUUCAUAUGAUUGUGUUUGCUGAAGAAAGGCUCAUAUCACUGUACCCAGGCAUAUAACUGUUAUAUCUUCUGGUUCCGUGCAAUGCAGACCCCAAGCGGUAACUAGCAGGCCUCCUAUCAAAUGAUCUUUAAUUUUAGAGUUCCUCUCCAAGGGUUCGACAUUAACAAUCGACACAGCUGCAUGGAUUUGACCAUUUGUACCCUGGUCAUGUGAAAAUUAUGACUGAUGGCGUCAGCGCUCAUAGAGCUACGGCCAUGGCCAUUUUUCCUUCCAGACAAUCUAAGAAUGGCCCUUGCUACAUCAUUCUUGUGUGUUUUGUAUGUUGUAAAGUACAUUUGUUGCUGUACAGGAAAAUGUUUUCUCCCUAGGAUACGUUCUGGCCAUCUUUGUACUAGAAGAAAUUGUUUUACAACAUAAGUUUUCUUGUACUUUCUCCGUCCACAAAAGAUGUCUCAAGUUUGUCAAAAUUUGAAUGCAUCUAGACAUGACUUAGUGUACAGAUGCAUUUAAAUUUAGUCGAAGUUGAGACAUCUUUGUUGGACGGCGGAAGUAUAGAAUUUCUGAUUUUCAAGAAUACUUACCGUCAUGGAUAUUUGAUAACCAUUCUUUGAGAAUGGAGGAUUCAUUUCUCA